UAUCGGAGUUGUUGUUUAAGGGCCGAGGUGUUCCAUUGCUUUUCGACAAAUGCAUCUGUGGAGAACUUGCCA
Molecule: non-coding RNA, 72 nt
Organism: Pangasianodon gigas (Mekong giant catfish)
Lineage: Eukaryota; Metazoa; Chordata; Actinopteri; Siluriformes; Pangasiidae
Source: the annotation of a GenBank genome assembly